AGCGCAGGCGGGAAGGUAAGUCUAUCUUAAAAGUGCGGGGCUCAACCCCGUGAGGGGAUAGAAACUAUUUUUCUUGAGUGCAGGAGAGGAAAGCGGAAUUCCUAGUGUAGCGGUGAAAUGCGUAGAUAUUAGGAGGAACACCAGUGGCGAAGGCGGCUUUCUGGACUGUAACUGACGCUGAGGCUCGAAAGCCAGGGGAGCGAAG
This 205-nucleotide ribosomal RNA is filed under the name uncultured bacterium. RNAcentral's name for it is "partial 16S ribosomal RNA". It matches the Rfam family "Bacterial small subunit ribosomal RNA", at positions 568 to 773 of the family's 1533-position model. The record is from RNAcentral.